Molecule: small RNA, 587 nt
Filed under: Pan troglodytes (chimpanzee)
Lineage: Eukaryota; Metazoa; Chordata; Mammalia; Primates; Hominidae
Description: retained intron
Source: RNAcentral
GUGUAAUUUCUGGGGUCCCUCCUCCACACAUUCCCGCAAUUAUCUCCCUCUCUCCGUAGAGCGGAGCGAGACCUUCCUGGAAGUGUGGGGGAAUGCGCUGCUGCGCCCGCCAGUGGCCGCCUUCGUGCGUGCCCAGGCCGACCUGCUGGCGCACCUGGUCCCCGAGCCCGACCGCCUGGAGGAACAGCUGCCCUGGCUCAGCCUCCGCGCCCUCAAGUUCCGCGAGCGGGAUGCCCUGGAGGCCGUGUUCCGCUUCUGGACUGGCGGCGAGAAAGGGCCCGAGGCCUUCCCCAUGAGCCGCCUCUGGGACUCGCGGCUGCGCCACUACCUGGGCUCCCGCUACGACGCCCGGCGCGGUGUCAGCGACUGGGACCUGCGCAUGAAGCUGCAUGACCGCGGGGCCCAAGUCAUUCACCCCCAGGAGUUCCGACGCUGGCGGGACACAGGCGUCGCCUUUGAACUCAGGGACUCCAGCGCCUAUCAUGUGCCCAACCGGACCCUGGCGUCCGGUCGCCUCCUGAGCUACCGUGGGGAGCGCGUGGCAGCGCGCGGGUACUGGGGGGACAUCGCCACGGGGCCCUUCGUGG